This 405-nucleotide unclassified non-coding RNA is filed under the name soil metagenome. Its description in RNAcentral is "partial contains 5.8S ribosomal RNA, internal transcribed spacer 2, and large subunit ribosomal RNA". The stretch from base 1 to 121 matches the Rfam family "5.8S ribosomal RNA", at positions 35 to 154 of the family's 154-position model. The record is from RNAcentral.
GAUGAAGAACGUAGCGAAAUGCGAUAAGUAAUGUGAAUUGCAGAAUUCAGUGAAUCAUCGAAUCUUUGAACGCACCUUGCGCCCUUUGGCUAUUCCGAAGGGCAUGCCUGUUUGAGUAUCAUGAACAUCUCAACUCCUCACGGUUCGCCCGUGACGAGCUUGGACUUUGGGGGUCUUGCCGGCCUGCGGGUCGGCUCCUCUCAAAUGAAUCAGCUUGCCGGUGUUUGGUGGCGUCACAGGUGUGAUAAAUAUCUACGCUUGUGGUUUUCCGCCAGGUAACCUCCAGCGAUGGGGGUUCACUGGAGCUCACGAAUGUCUCUCCUCGGUGAGGACAGCUCUUUGAACGUUUGAUCUCAAAUCAGGUAGGGCUACCCGCUGAACUUAAGCAUAUCAAUACGCGGAGGA